AUUGAACGCUGGCGGCAGGCCUAACACAUGCAAGUCGAGCGGAUGAAGGGAGCUUGCUCCUGGAUUCAGCGGCGGACGGGUAAGUAAUGCCUAGGAAUCUGCCUGGUAGUGGGGGAUAACGUCCGGAAACGGGCGCUAAUACCGCAUACGUCCUGAGGGAGAAAGUGGGGGAUCUUCGGACCUCACGCUAUCAGAUGAGCCUAGGUCGGAUUAGCUAGUUGGUGGGGUAGAGGCCUACCAAGGCGACGAUCCGUAACUGGUCUGAGAGGAUGAUCAGUCACAUUGGAACUGAGACACGGUCCAGACUCCUACGGGAGGCAGCAGUGGGGAAUAUUGGACAAUGGGCGAAGGCCUGAUCCAGCCAUGCCGCGUGUGUGAAGAAGGUCUUCGGAUUGUAAAGCCCUUUAAGUUGGGAGGAAGGGCAGUAAGUUAAUACCUUGCUGUUUUGACGUUACCAACAGAAUAAGCACCGGCUAACUUCGUG
Molecule: ribosomal RNA, 484 nt
Filed under: uncultured bacterium
Lineage: Bacteria
Description: partial 16S ribosomal RNA
Rfam family: Bacterial small subunit ribosomal RNA
Source: RNAcentral